AUUGAACGCUGGCGGCAGGCCUAACACAUGCAAGUCGAGCGAGCGGCGGACGGGGGAGUAAUGUAUGGGGACUGCCCGAUAGCGGGGGAUAACUACUGGAACCGGUAGCUAAUACCGCAUCGUAUCGGAUAACCCAGAUGGGAUGAGCUAGUAGGUGAGGUAAUGGCUCACCUAGGCGACGAUCCCUAGCUGGUCUGAGAGGAUGAUCAGCCACACUGGGACUGAGACACGGCCCAGACGCCUACGGAGGCAGCAGUGGGGAAGAUUGCGCAAUGGGCGCAAUCCGGAUGCAGCCAUGCCGCGUGUAUGAAGAAGGCCCUAGGGUUGUAAAGUACUUUCAGUCGGGAGGCGUUACCGACAGAAGAAGCACCGGCUAACUCCGUGCCAGCAGCCGCGGUAAUAC
RNAcentral lists this ribosomal RNA (403 nucleotides) under uncultured bacterium. Its description in RNAcentral is "partial 16S ribosomal RNA". It matches the Rfam family "Bacterial small subunit ribosomal RNA", at positions 29 to 526 of the family's 1533-position model. The record is from RNAcentral.